Long non-coding RNA from Vitis riparia (riverbank grape), 185 nucleotides. RefSeq lists it as uncharacterized. Lineage: Eukaryota; Viridiplantae; Streptophyta; Magnoliopsida; Vitales; Vitaceae. The transcript is spliced from 3 exons. The record is from RefSeq and is a predicted model, not a curated record.
UUGGAGAAAGUAGAUUUGGAACAUGUUAACAAUUUUCUGAAUUUGAAUCCUCUGCCUUGCAUUGAGCCUGGGCAUCUUAAAUUAAAGGGUUAUGCAGAAGAGGCAAUGAUUUUGGUUCAGGAAAUUGAUUCUGCCUUGUCAACGAGUUCAAAAUCCUCUAUCCCUGAGUUGGAACAGCUAUAUUC